RNAcentral lists this long non-coding RNA (291 nucleotides) under Carica papaya (papaya). RNAcentral's name for it is "long non-coding RNA (CPAP_LNC001749)". Lineage: Eukaryota; Viridiplantae; Streptophyta; Magnoliopsida; Brassicales; Caricaceae. The record is from RNAcentral.
CAAUAUAUAUACAUGAUUGGUAAACAAAUAAGAGAAAAAUGGUUCAGAUGUUAAGCACUAAACCUCUUGUUCCAUCGAGUGGAUCAUAUGGAGGAGCGAUGUGCUUUGAUCCUCCUAUUUAAAAUGAUUGGAUAAGAAUUGUAACAAACCAUACUUGCAUAGGGAGUCGGGGUACCGUAAGAACUUAUAUUCCUAGUGUGAAAAAUACAUAACCUUCUAUCUCCAAAUAAAAAUAAGUACAUCCAAGAGAAAUGUUCACAUCCCUUGCCGUGAGGGUUAACCAUUACAUCU